AUUGAAUUAUCAUUCCAAGCC
Molecule: unclassified non-coding RNA, 21 nt
Filed under: Dictyostelium discoideum
Lineage: Eukaryota; Evosea; Eumycetozoa; Dictyosteliales; Dictyosteliaceae
Source: RNAcentral